AGAGCGAACGCUGGCGGCAUGCUUAACACAUGCAAGUCGCACGGGCAGGGGCAACCCUGUCAGUGGCGGACGGGUGAGUAACGCGUAGGUAUCUAUCCUUGGGUGGGGGACAACUGUGGGAAACUACAGCUAAUACCGCAUGAUGACCGAGGUCCAAAGCUCGCGAGAGCGCCUGGGGAGGAGCCUGCGUACGAUUAGCUAGUUGGUGGGGUAAAGGCCUACCAAGGCGACGAUCGUUAGCUGGUCUGAGAGGAUGAUCAGCCACAUUGGGACUGAGACACGGCCCAAACUCCUACGGGAGGCAGCAGUGGGGAAUAUUGGACAAUGGGCGCAAGCCUGAUCCAGCAAUGCCGCGUGUGUGAAGAAGGUCUUCGGAUUGUAAAGCACUUUCGACGGGACGAUGAUGACGGUACCCGUAGAAGAAGCCCCGGCUAACUUCGUGCCAGCAGCCGCGGUAA
RNAcentral lists this ribosomal RNA (458 nucleotides) under uncultured bacterium. RNAcentral describes it as "SSU rRNA". It matches the Rfam family "Bacterial small subunit ribosomal RNA", at positions 26 to 523 of the family's 1533-position model. The record is from RNAcentral.